CAAAAUAUAGUUUAAUAAAAAUUCUAAUUUUGGGAAUUAGUGAUGCUGUGUACUAUCAGCUAUUUUGA
This 68-nucleotide transfer RNA is filed under the name Isorropodon fossajaponicum. RNAcentral's name for it is "tRNA-Pro". The record is from RNAcentral. Lineage: Eukaryota; Metazoa; Mollusca; Bivalvia; Venerida; Vesicomyidae.